Small nucleolar RNA from Coffea eugenioides, 100 nucleotides. RefSeq annotates it as small nucleolar RNA Z103. NCBI's taxonomy places the organism in Eukaryota, Viridiplantae, Streptophyta, Magnoliopsida, Gentianales, Rubiaceae. The transcript has a single exon. The record is from RefSeq and is a predicted model, not a curated record.
AUGGAUGUGAUGAUUAUUUCCCCAGAUGAUCGAAGCUGAUUAUACUGUGCUACCAUUAAAUUUCUCUUUUUCGAGAAAUCAAGCCAGAAAUCUGAUCCAU